This 373-nucleotide ribosomal RNA is filed under the name uncultured organism. RNAcentral's name for it is "partial 16S ribosomal RNA". It matches the Rfam family "Bacterial small subunit ribosomal RNA", at positions 527 to 896 of the family's 1533-position model. The record is from RNAcentral.
GUAGGUGGCAAGCGUUGUCCGGAAUUAUUGGGCGUAAAGCGCGCGCAGGCGGUUCGUUUAAGUCUGAUGUGAAAGCCCACGGGCUCAACCGUGGAGGGUCAUCGGAAACUGGAGAACUUGAGUACAGAAGAGGAAAGCGGAAUUCCACGUGUAGCGGUGAAAUGCGUAGAGAUGUGGAGGAACACCAGUGGCGAAGGCGGCUUUCUGGUCUGUAACUGACGCUGAGGCGCGAAAGCGUGGGGAGCAGACAGGAUUAGAUACCCUGGUAGUCCACGCCGUAAACGAUGAGUGCUAAGUGUUAGGGGGUUUCCGCCCCUUAGUGCUGCAGCUAACGCAUUAAGCACUCCGCCUGGGGAGUACGGCCGCAAGGCUG